AGGAACUGGUUGGAAUGCCCGAUUUACGUUGACACGGUAGAGGUCUGGGGUUCGAGUCCCCACGGGCCUACCA
Molecule: transfer RNA, 73 nt
Filed under: Terriglobia bacterium
Lineage: Bacteria; Pseudomonadati; Acidobacteriota; Terriglobia
Description: tRNA-Ser
Source: RNAcentral